Molecule: ribosomal RNA, 558 nt
Filed under: Sutcliffiella horikoshii
Lineage: Bacteria; Bacillati; Bacillota; Bacilli; Caryophanales; Bacillaceae
Description: bacterial SSU rRNA
Rfam family: Bacterial small subunit ribosomal RNA
Source: RNAcentral
UCUUACGGGACGGCAGCAGUAGGGAAUCUUCCACAAUGGACGAAAGUCUGAUGGAGCAACGCCGCGUGAGCGAUGAAGGCCUUCGGGUCGUAAAGCUCUGUUGUUAGGGAAGAACAAGUGCGAGAGUAACUGCUCGCACCUUGACGGUACCUAACCAGAAAGCCACGGCUAACUACGUGCCAGCAGCCGCGGUAAUACGUAGGUGGCAAGCGUUGUCCGGAAUUAUUGGGCGUAAAGCGCGCGCAGGUGGUCCUUUAAGUCUGAUGUGAAAGCCCACGGCUCAACCGUGGAGGGUCAUUGGAAACUGGGGGACUUGAGUGCAGAAGAGGAAAGUGGAAUUCCAAGUGUAGCGGUGAAAUGCGUAGAGAUUUGGAGGAACACCAGUGGCGAAGGCGACUUUCUGGUCUGUAACUGACACUGAGGCGCGAAAGCGUGGGGAGCAAACAGGAUUAGAUACCCUGGUAGUCCACGCCGUAAACGAUGAGUGCUAAGUGUUAGAGGGUUCCGCCCUUUAGUGCUGCAGCUAACGCAUAAGCACUCCGCCUGGGAGAGGCACCA